RNAcentral lists this ribosomal RNA (455 nucleotides) under uncultured Gammaproteobacteria bacterium. RNAcentral's name for it is "bacterial SSU rRNA". It matches the Rfam family "Bacterial small subunit ribosomal RNA", at positions 74 to 524 of the family's 1533-position model. Lineage: Bacteria; Pseudomonadati; Pseudomonadota; Gammaproteobacteria. The record is from RNAcentral.
GUAUCUUCGGAUAUGAGUAGAGCGGCGGACGGGUGAGUAACGCGUAGGAAUCUACCUAGUAGAAGGGGAUAGCCCGGGGAAACCCGGAUUAAUACCGUAUACCUCCUUCGGGAGAAAGAAGGCCUCUCUUUGAAGCUUUCGCUACUAGAUGAGCCUGCGUAAGAUUAGCUUGUUGGUGAGGUAAAGGCUCACCAAGGCAACGAUCUUUAGCUGGUCUGAGAGGACGAUCAGCCACAUUGGGACUGAGACACGGCCCAGACUCCUACGGGAGGCAGCAGUGGGGAAUAUUGGACAAUGGGCGCAAGCCUGAUCCAGCCAUACCGCGUGUGUGAAGAAGGCCUUCGGGUUGUAAAGCACUUUAAGCAGGGAGAAAAAGUUAUAAGCUAAUACCUUAUAACCUUGAUGUUACCUGCAGAAUAAGCACCGGCUAAUUCCGUGCCAGCAGCCGCGGUAAU